AUAAUUGUCAGCUAAGUGGCGCACGGGUGAGUAAUGUAUAGAUAACCUGCCCUUAAGAAAGGAAUAACAGUUGGAAACGACUGCUAAUGCCCUAUAUGCCUUUAAUACAUAAGUAUGCAAGGGAAACGCUUUAGUGCUUAAGGAUGGGUCUGUAUGGUAUCAGCUUGUUGGUGAGGUAAUGGCUCACCAAGGCUAUGACGCCUAACUGGUUUGAGAGGAUGAUCAGUCACACUGGAACUGAGACACGGUCCAGACUCCUACGGGAGGCAGCAGUGGGGAAUAUUGCACAAUGGACGAAAGUCUGAUGCAGCAACGCCGCGUGGAGGAUGACACAUUUCGGUGCGUAAACUCCUUUUAUAUAGGAAGAUAAUGACGGUACUAUAUGAAUAAGCACCGGCUAACUCCGUGCCAGCAGCCGCGGUAAUACGGAGGGUGCAAGCGUUACUCGGAAUCACUGGGCGUAAAGAGCGUGUAGGCGGGUAUAUAAGUCAGAAGUGAAAUCCAAUAGCUCAACUAUUGAACUGCUUUUGAAACUGUAUACCUAGAAUGUGGGAGAGGUAGAUGGAAUUUCUGGUGUAGGGGUAAAAUCCGUAGAGAUCAGAAGGAAUACCGAUUGCGAAGGCGAUCUACUGGAACAUUAUUGACGCUGAGACGCGAAAGCGUGGGGAGCAAACAGGAUUAGAUACCCUGGUAGUCCACGCCCUAAACGAUGUACACUAGUUGUUGUGAGGCUCGACCUUGCAGUAAUGCAGUUAACACAUUAAGUGUACCGCCUGGGGAGUACGGUCGCAAGAUUAAAA
This 800-nucleotide ribosomal RNA is filed under the name uncultured bacterium. Its description in RNAcentral is "bacterial SSU rRNA". It matches the Rfam family "Bacterial small subunit ribosomal RNA", at positions 80 to 899 of the family's 1533-position model. The record is from RNAcentral.